This 127-nucleotide microRNA precursor is filed under the name Chlorocebus sabaeus (green monkey). Its description in RNAcentral is "miRNA (ENSCSAG00000027933.1)". The record is from RNAcentral. Lineage: Eukaryota; Metazoa; Chordata; Mammalia; Primates; Cercopithecidae.
CCUGGGGACCUUGUUACACUGCAGUUCUAGUUCAGUAGGUCCAGGGUAAGGCCUGAGAUUCUGCAUUUCUAACAAGCUCCCAGGUGAUGCUGAGCUGCUGGUCCCCAGAGCACUCAUUGUGGAACAA